Non-coding RNA from Otolemur garnettii (small-eared galago), 285 nucleotides. Lineage: Eukaryota; Metazoa; Chordata; Mammalia; Primates; Galagidae. The record is from Rfam.
GCCGGACGCAGUGGCAUGGUGCCUAUAGUCCCAACUACUGGGGAGGCUGAGACAGGAGGAUCGCCUGAGUCCAGGAGUUCUGAGCUGUAGUGCACUAUGCUGAUCGGGUGUCUGCACUAAGUUCAGCAUCAAUAUGGUGACCUCCCAGGAGCAGGGGACCAGCAGGUUGCCUAAGGAGGGGUGAACUAGAGCAGGUCAAAACUCCCGUGCUGAUCAGUAGUGGGAUAAAGCCUGUGAAUAGCCACUGCACUCCAGCCUGGGCAGCAUAGCAAGACCCCGUCUCUU